This 251-nucleotide unclassified non-coding RNA is filed under the name Hevea brasiliensis (rubber tree). The record is from RNAcentral. Lineage: Eukaryota; Viridiplantae; Streptophyta; Magnoliopsida; Malpighiales; Euphorbiaceae.
AUGAUUUUCCCUUGCAAGUUUUUCUAUGUCAGAUGUCUGCACAGCUAAUUUAUCCUCUAAUAAUUCAAGAGACUUGUGGCCGACCGCAGAAUCUGAUCCAGGAAAUGGUCCAUGGCGCAUCAACCCUGGAGCCUUAACAGGACGGCCAUUGUAUAGCGGUUGAAGUGUUUCCCUUGUGGACAUUUAUGAUUUAUCUGAAGUACUGGUUUCACAAGUUAGAGUCUUCUCCUUCAGAUUGACGCCUAUAUUCA